GAUGAAGAACGCAGUGAAAUGCGAUAAGUAGUGUGAAUUGCAGAAUUCAGUGAAUCAUCGAAUCUUUGAACGCACAUUGCGCCCCUUGGUAUUCCAUGGGGCAUGCCUGUUCGAGCGUCAUUUGUACCUUCAAGCUUUGCUUGGUGUUGGGUGUUUGUCUCGCCUUUGCGUGUAGACUCGCCUUAAAAUAAUUGGCAGCCGGCGUAUUGAUUUCGGAGCGCAGUACAUCUCGCGCUUUGCACUCAUAACGACAGCGUCCAAAAGUACAUUUUACACUCUUGACCUCGGAUCAGGUAGGGAUACCCGCUGAACUUAAGCAUAUCAAUAACGGAGGA
RNAcentral lists this unclassified non-coding RNA (335 nucleotides) under soil metagenome. Its description in RNAcentral is "partial contains 5.8S ribosomal RNA, internal transcribed spacer 2, and large subunit ribosomal RNA". The stretch from base 1 to 120 matches the Rfam family "5.8S ribosomal RNA", at positions 35 to 154 of the family's 154-position model. The record is from RNAcentral.